Amaranthus tricolor (Joseph's coat) is the source of this 4210-nucleotide RNA transcript. RefSeq lists it as uncharacterized. The transcript has 8 exons. The record is from RefSeq and is a predicted model, not a curated record. Lineage: Eukaryota; Viridiplantae; Streptophyta; Magnoliopsida; Caryophyllales; Amaranthaceae.
GUCUAUUUGCAGUACAGUAUUUUUUGUCACCGAUGCACCAUGUUUGACAUGGCGUAGGUUUCUUACACAUUCAAGACCUUAUACUUGGGAGUAGUAUUCACUAACAAUAGCUUGUGCAAGCAAACAAGUGGCUGUGUGCAUGACUAUUCAGCAAGUGCUAAAUAUGGAGGCUGGUAUCAGGUCCUAUGCGAGGAGAGAUUUAUUGGGUUGUGCUUAAAAUGUAGCAGCACACAUCAAGUUGAUUGUUCAAUGCAUCAGCAGUGCAGCAUAGGCAAAUCAGAACACAAACCAUUUAGAGCAUCAAUAUGGGAUCAACACAGUAGGCUCUCAUCCAGCAGCUAAGGCUUCGUGCAUAUGGGCAAGAAGGUGAACCAAAUAUGCAUGAUUCAAACAUAGAGAUGCAGCCAGAACUCAGCAAGGAAGGAACAAUCUUAUCAAGACAAUCUAAGCCCCUUAAAUCAGAAACAAACAUCACAAAGGGACUUAAACCCACAAGAACAGAAUCCAGAGAAAACAGCCUGCCAGCCUACCUUGCAAGGUACCUGGACAUCAGAAUUUUGCAUCAAGGAUCAAGAAAAUCCAAGGAACGUCAUCAAUGCACAUGGACCAAGAAGCCAAGGCCCAAGCGUAGCCCUAAUAGUCCACACAGAAACCACAGAACCAGCUCCAAGGUCGUAAGGCAGCAAGAUCAGUGUCAGAAGCCCUGGUUCAAGGCGCUCGAUCCUCAAGAAUUCGAUGAAGGCAAUAUACUCGAUGAUCGGGAGGGAAGUGGUGGUGGUGAUGAUGAUGAAGACGAAGAGGAAGAAGUACAGGAUGAGUGUGAGAAUGAUGGUUUUAUUGUUGAUGGCGAUGAAGAUGAGGAAGAAUCCAAAGAAGAUGAUGAUGAGAAAAGGGAUAGAAAGAAGUGGAAAAAGAAAAGGGUGUGAAACAACUGUGAAGGUCAGGCUGGGGAUGUGGAUAGUGCCAUUGUAACUUGUAGCUUGGACGUGCAAUUGGUAAUAUGGUAUAUCUUUAUUGUCAACAACUUAUAUGUGUGACUUUAAAAGCUAAGUUGAUAUGAAUAAAUGAUGUUUUGUAAUCGCUAAUAUCUGAAAUGGUAGGUUGAAAGGUAUAUAAUUAGUUAAGUGGGGCUAUAUUAUUCCUACUUGUAUUAGCUGCUUGAAUGUAGUCAGUUGAUUAAAGCGCUUAAUUUAAUUUGUGUAUCAGCUUAAGAAGCAUAAUCACUUCACUUGCUUUUCUUUGCUCCAUUUUAGGGAGUGUUAAUUAGCAAGCUACCUAAACGUUUUCAUUAUUUUACUGGUGAUUGGAUUUUUUUAGCGAAUCCUUUGAACUUGAUGAUGAUGAUUAUGAGCUUCUACUGGACAAUAAUGUGAAAGUUCCUCGUAAAGAAACCAAGUUGAAAAGGCUGCAGAAGGUUGAUACUCAUGUUGGGCAUUCUGAUGAGGAUGAUUUUAAUGAGGCGCUCGAUCCUCAAGAAUUCGAUGAUGGCAAUAUACUCGAUGAUCGGAAGGGAAGUGGUGGUGAUGGUGAUGAUGAUGAAGACGAAGAGGAAGGGUGUGAAACAACUGUGAAGGUCAGGCUGGGGAUGUGGAUAGUGCCAUUGUAACUUGUAGCCUGGACGUGCAAUUGGUAAUAUGGUAUAUCUUUAUUGUCAACAACUUAUAUGUGUGACUUUAAAAGCUAAGUUGAUAUGAAUAAAUGAUGUUUUGUAAUCGCUAAUAUCUGAAAUGGUAGGUUGAAAGGUAUAUAAUUAGUUAAGUGGGGCUACAUUAUUCCUACUUGUAUUAGCUGCUUGAAUGUAGUUAGUUGAUUAAAGCGCUUAAUUUAAUUUGUGUAUCAGCUUAAGAAGCAUAAUCACUUCACUUGCUUUUCUGUUCUCCAUUUUAGGGAGUGUUAAUUAGCAAGCUACCUAAACGUUUUCAUUAUUUUACUGGUGAUUGGAUUUUUUAGCGAAUCCUUUGAACUUGAUGAUGAUGAUUAUGAGCUUCUACUGGACAAUAAUGUGAAAGUUCCUCGUAAAGAAACCAAGUUGAAAAGGCUGCAGAAGGUUGAUACUGAUGUUGGGCAUUCUGAUGACUUGAUGAGGAUGAUUUUAAUGGUACGCUGAGAAGCGUAACUGGCAACCUAAUUUUAUUGAAUUUUAUUGAGCUGGAAGAAAUUAACUACAAUGAAUCACUUACAGAUAAAAAAUGAACUCUAAACCUUAAACCUAAAUCCUCUUUUAUAGAGGAAGUUUACUUGGGAAACCCUAUAUCUAACUUAAGAAAUAAUAAAAAUAAUAAAAGCAAAUAAAUUAAAAACUAACUAAAUCGUGAAGGCUGACUAGCUAGGCCAUGAAUCAUCGCUUUGGUUCAACUCGUCGCAUUAUUUUCCUGGGCAGCGAGUUGUGGCUUAUAUUGUAUGAGCUUGGCGACUAAUCAUCACUUAGGCUGCUUGUGGUGCUCACGCCUUCUUCACUUGUUAGAGGUCUUAGGUUAUUUCUCCAAGCCUUCACCCCUUUUAUAAUAACUUCAUGGUCCUAUUAAAAUAUACAUAGGACCCCAAUUUGUUGCAAAAAAUUAUAUUUAGUCUUGUGUAAAUUAGUAGCUUCUCAUGUAUUUGGUAGAAGAAUGAAAUCUAUUCUUGUAUAGGUCCCUUUAUUACACGUUCACUUUGUCUUCCCCACAUUCUUAUUUUUCGUUGAGGUUUUGUUUUUUCGUCCUAUUUUAUUUAUUUGUUUAUCUGUCUUCAAUCGGGUUCUUCAUUAUGGAGUUUGUUGUUCUGUUUUCUUCUUAAUCCUUCUGAUUUUUGAAGAAAUUGUUGUUCUAUCAUCACUUGAUCUUGUUUCAAAAAUUGGCAAGAGUACUAGAAGAAAUUAAUUUGGCUUUAUUAAUAUUGUUCUUAAAUUUCUUGUUAAUUGCUCAUGCGUGCCAUUGGAAAUGCUGCAAUUGACUUUUGUAUGUGAGAGCUUUUGGGGUCAAUUGUAGCAAUUUCUAUCAUCCAUCCAUCGGGUUUAUUAAUGAAGUUGAUCAUAUUUGGUUAAGAUUAUGACACAUAGUAAGGAUCAGAGGUUGAAGUAGAGUUUAGUGAUUGUGUCUACAAAGAACUUAAGAGGAGUUUACUAUUUAACUAUAUUCUGUGAACACUUCCAAUCUUAUAUUUCUUGCAAUAGAUAUAAACCUUGCUAAGGAUUAUAGUACUCCCCACUCGUGAAGCUGAUUCCGUUGUAGUUUUAUGGCUAUGAAAACAAGCAUUGAUUCAUCUAUCCAGUUGACUAUAUUCUUUUUCCUUAUCCUCGUCAAAUGCUUGGUUUUCAAAUGUUGUAAACUUGUAAUUAAAUUGGACUUUUAAAGCUUGUUUUUAAAAUGCUUUUGUGUUCUUUGCUGAUAUCCUGGGAGAACUGUUUAUUCAGCUCAUGUCACUUAGAAACUUUAGGUUAUUGGAAAAGUAGGUUGAUGGAAACUUUAGAACUUCUUAUACCUGGCUUCCAAGAAGAAACUUAUAAGGGAGAAGUUUAUGAGGAUAUGAGGAUAUGGAGGCUAUGAUAGAAACUGAAGCAAAAAUGUAGAAAAAAUCAUAGUGAAAAAUUUUAGGGAGCUGAGGUUGGAUGCCCCAAGGACAACAAUGAGGUUGAUGAAUGUAGAGUUGGGGUGACUGUUUCUAGAAAGAACAUAUUAAAGAUGUAUCAAUAUAUUAAAGAUUUACAUUCUUAAAAUUCUUAUAUUUAAUGGAUUGUUAUUUUUUAUAUUUAAUGUGUCCAAGAGUAUAAGUCAAAUUAGUACGGCAUUCUAAAAUAUAUGUUAUUUUGUCAUUUCUACAAACCGACAGAUGUGAAUUCCUCGGUGUGAUGGAACCUUUCUCCAACUCUCAUCUGCAACUUUCUCCAACUAUUUUCUUCGACCGGAAGUGUUGUGCCUGAAUGAAAAUAAAAUCAAAGCUAGAUUAAUAUGAAGUGAAUUUGUUAUGUUGCCAAUGUACCUUGCCUUAGUAUUUUGUGUUGAAAUCAUUUGGUUUGCUAUUGCAUCAACAAAAUUGAAAAAGAGAGUAUUAUUGCAGUUAUGGAGUGUAAUCAAUAACAUUCCAGCGAAACUGAACUCGGUAUAUAAAAUACGAACUUUGAUACAUAUUUCCCGCUAGCAGUGAAGAGCAUAUAAACAGACAACUUUUAUGUAAAAGUUGGGACCAACAUUUGGACGAGGAAGUGUCACGGACAGUUAUAUAGUAACUAAAU